GCAUAUCAAUAAGCGGAGGAAAAGAAAAUAACAAUGAUACCCUUAGUUAGCGGCGAAGCGAAGUGGGUAAAAGCUUCAAGUUUAAAACCUGUUUGUCCUAGACAAACCGGAUUGUAAACUAAGGACGUGCUAUCCAGGCUCUUUGGACCUUCAAGUCCUUUGGAAUAAGGCUUCACAGAGGGUGACAAUCCCGUAGAGGGUCUUGAAAGAGUCUAUUGCGAUGCAUGCUCCAAGAGUCAGGUUGUUUGGGAAUGCAGCCUAAAGUGGGAGGUAAAUCCCUCCUAAAGCUAAAUAUUGGCGAGAGACCGAUAGCAAACAAGUACCGUGAGGGAAAGUUGAAAAGGACUUUGAAAAGAGAGUCAAAAGUACGUGAAAUUGCUUAAAGGGAAGCGUUUGGAGCUAGUUUGGCUAGUCUGUUAUCAGCCUGAGCUUCGGCUUUGGUGUACUAUCAGGCUAUUUGCCGGCCAACUUUCAGGAUUGGAAGGAAAGCUUAGUGCUUUGGAGUCUAAAGAGACCUUUGCGGAAGCCUCUGGUGGAGCGUUGGUCUGCCUUGGCCCUUCUGAACCUAUAGUUGGCUUAAUGGCUCUAAACGGCCCGUCUUGAAACACGGACCAAGGAGUCCACCACUGUUGCGAGUGUUUGGGUGGCAAACCCAUACGCGAAAUGAAAGUGAAAGCUAUGAAAUCGCAAGAUGGCAAUAGCAUCCGGCCUUUAGGACUGAGAUAAAGCAAUAGUGAUGGGACCCGAAAGAUGGUGAACUAUGCUUGAGUAGAGUGAAGCCAGAAGAAAUUCUGGUGGAAGCUCGUAACGGUUCUGACGUGCAAAUCGAUUCGUCGAAACUUGAAGCAUAGGGGGCGAAAGACUAAUCGAACCAUCUAGUAGCUGGUUCCUGCCGAA
This 897-nucleotide ribosomal RNA is filed under the name Rhizomucor pusillus. RNAcentral describes it as "LSU rRNA". It matches the Rfam family "Eukaryotic large subunit ribosomal RNA", at positions 38 to 965 of the family's 3401-position model. Lineage: Eukaryota; Fungi; Mucoromycota; Mucoromycetes; Mucorales; Lichtheimiaceae. The record is from RNAcentral.